RNAcentral lists this unclassified non-coding RNA (223 nucleotides) under plant metagenome. RNAcentral describes it as "partial contains small subunit ribosomal RNA, internal transcribed spacer 1, and 5.8S ribosomal RNA". The stretch from base 1 to 54 matches the Rfam family "Eukaryotic small subunit ribosomal RNA", at positions 1778 to 1831 of the family's 1831-position model. The record is from RNAcentral.
GGAAGUAAAAGUCGUAACAAAGUCUCCGUUGGUGAACCAGCGGAGGGAUCAUUAUCGAGUUUAUAACUCCCAAACCCUAUGUGAACUUACCACUUGUUGCUUCGGCGCGCGCUUCGGUGCCGCCGAGGACACUUAAACUCUUUGUUUUUAUAAGCAUUUCUGAGUGGCCGAAAGGCAAAAUACAAAUGAAUCAAAACUUUCAACAACGGAUCUCUUGGUUCUU